This 253-nucleotide ribosomal RNA is filed under the name uncultured bacterium. Its description in RNAcentral is "partial 16S ribosomal RNA". It matches the Rfam family "Bacterial small subunit ribosomal RNA", at positions 524 to 776 of the family's 1533-position model. The record is from RNAcentral.
UACGUAGGGGGCUAGCGUUGUCCGGAUUUAUUGGGCGUAAAGAGCGUGUAGGCGGUUCGGUAGGUCCGUUGUGAAAACUCGAGGCUCAACCUCGAGACGCCGAUGGAAACCCUCGAACUAGAGUCCGGAAGAGGAGAGUGGAAUUCCUGGUGUAGCGGUGAAAUGCGCAGAUAUCAGGAAGAACACCCGUGGCUAAGGCGGCUCUCUAGUACGGUACUGACGCUGAGACGCGAAAGCGUGGGGAGCGAACAGG